Molecule: ribosomal RNA, 459 nt
Filed under: uncultured bacterium
Lineage: Bacteria
Description: bacterial SSU rRNA
Rfam family: Bacterial small subunit ribosomal RNA
Source: RNAcentral
GACGAACGCUGGCGGCGUGCCUAAUACAUGCAAGUCGAGCGGACUACACCUUCGGGUGUGCUUAGCGGCGAACGGGUGAGUAACACGUGGGCAACCUGCCCUGUACUCUGGGAUAACUCCGGGAAACCGGGGCUAAUACCGGAUAUGCUAACAAAGACGCAUGUUUUUGUUAGUAAAGCUCCGGCGGUAUAGGAUGGGCCCGCGGACCAUUAGCUGGUUGGUAGGGUAACGGCCUACCAAGGCAACGAUGGAUAGCCGACCUGAGAGGGUGAUCGGCCACACUGGAACUGAGACACGGUCCAGACUCCUACGGGAGGCAGCAGUGGGGAAUAUUGCGCAAUGGGGGAAACCCUGACGCAGCAACGCCGCGUGGAGGAAGAAGGUCUUCGGAUUGUAAACUCCUGUCUUUUGGGACGAAUAAUGACGGUACCAAAGGAGGAAGCCACGGCUAACUACGUG